This 793-nucleotide ribosomal RNA is filed under the name uncultured bacterium. RNAcentral's name for it is "bacterial SSU rRNA". It matches the Rfam family "Bacterial small subunit ribosomal RNA", at positions 8 to 796 of the family's 1533-position model. The record is from RNAcentral.
AGAGUUUGAUCAUGGCUCAGAUUGAACGCUGGCGGCAUGCCUUACACAUGCAAGUCGAACGGCAGCACGGGCUUCGGUCUGGUGGCGAGUGGCGAACGGGUGAGUAAUGUAUCGGAACGUACCUUUCAGUGGGGGAUAACGUAGCGAAAGUUACGCUAAUACCGCAUAUUCUGUGAGCAGGAAAGCAGGGGAUCGCAAGACCUUGCGCUGAUUGAGCGGCCGAUAUCAGAUUAGCUAGUUGGUGGGGUAAAGGCCUACCAAGGCUACGAUCUGUAGCGGGUCUGAGAGGAUGAUCCGCCACACUGGAACUGAGACACGGUCCAGACUCCUACGGGAGGCAGCAGUGGGGAAUUUUGGACAAUGGGGGCAACCCUGAUCCAGCCAUGCCGCGUGAGUGAAGAAGGCCUUCGGGUUGUAAAGCUCUUUCGGCCGGGAAGAAAUCGCAUAGGUUAAUACCCUGUGUGGAUGACGGUACCGGAAUAAGAAGCACCGGCUAACUACGUGCCAGCAGCCGCGGUAAUACGUAGGGUGCGAGCGUUAAUCGGAAUUACUGGGCGUAAAGCGUGCGCAGGCGGUUUCGUAAGACAGAGGUGAAAUCCCCGGGCUCAACCUGGGAACUGCAUUUGUGACUGUAUAGCUAGAGUACGGUAGAGGGGGAUGGAAUUCCGCGUGUAGCAGUGAAAUGCGUAGAUAUGCGGAGGAACACCGAUGGCGAAGGCAAUCCCCUGGACCUGUACUGACGCUCAUGCACGAAAGCGUGGGGAGCAAACAGGAUUAGAUACCCUGGUAGUCC